GUGGACGCCAGUCUGCAUGGAGCCGACCUUGAAAUACCACCCUUUAAUGUUUGAUGUUCUAACGUGGACCCGUAAUCCGGGUUGCGGACAGUGUCUGGUGGGUAGUUUGACUGGGGCGGUCUCCUCCUAAAGAGUAACGGAGGAGCACGAAGGUUGGCUAAUCCUGGUCGGACAUCAGGAGGUUAGUGCAAUGGCAUAAGCCAGCUUGACUGCGAGCGUGACGGCGCGAGCAGGUGCGAAAGCAGGUCAUAGUGAUCCGGUGGUUCUGAAUGGAAGGGCCAUCGCUCAACGGAUAAAAGGUACUCCGGGGAUAACAGGCUGAUACCGCCCAAGAGUUCAUAUCGACGGCGGUGUUUGGCACCUCGAUGUCGGCUCAUCACAUCCUGGGGCUGAAGUAGGUCCCAAGGGUAUGGCUGUUCGCCAUUUAAAGUGGUACGCGAGCUGGGUUUAGAACGUCGUGAGACAGUUCGGUCCCUAUCUGCCGUGGGCGCUGGAGAACUGAGGGGGGCUGCUCCUAGUACGAGAGGACCGGAGUGGACGCAUCACUGGUGUUCGGGUUGUCAUGCCAAUGGCACUGCCCGGUAGCUAAAUGCGGAAGAGAUAAGUGCUGAAAGCAUCUAAGCACGAAACUUGCCCCGAGAUGAGUUCUCCCUGAGACUUUAGGUCUCCUGAAGGAACGUUGAAGACGACGACGUUGAUAGGCCGGGUGUGUAAGCGCAGCGAUGCGUUGAGCUAACCGGUACUAAUGAACCGUGAGGCUUAACCU
RNAcentral lists this ribosomal RNA (766 nucleotides) under Salmonella enterica subsp. enterica serovar Uganda. RNAcentral describes it as "partial 23S ribosomal RNA". It matches the Rfam family "Bacterial large subunit ribosomal RNA", at positions 2164 to 2925 of the family's 2925-position model. Lineage: Bacteria; Pseudomonadati; Pseudomonadota; Gammaproteobacteria; Enterobacterales; Enterobacteriaceae. The record is from RNAcentral.